GCGCAGGAAAAGAAACCAACAGGGAUUGCCUCAGUAACGGCGAGUGAAGCGGCAAAAGCUCAAAUUUGAAAUCUGGCGCCUUUGGCGUCCGAGUUGUAAUUUGUAGAGGUAGCUUUGGGUGUACAGCCAGGUUUAUGUUCCUUGGAACAGGACGUCAUGGAGGGUGAGAAUCCCGUAAAUGAGUUGGCCAGUGGCUAUGUAUAGGGCCUUCGACUAGUCGAGUUGUUUGGGAAUGCAGCUCUAAGUGGGUGGUAAAUUCCAUCUAAAGCUAAGUACUGACGAGAGACCGAUAGGGCACAGCUCAAGUGAUCGAAAGGUGAAAAGCACUCCGGAAGGAGAGUUAAACAGCACGUGAAAUUGUUGAAAGGGAAGCGCUUGAUACCAGACUCAGGCAGGGUUGAUCAACCUCCAUUCUUGGUGGUGCACUCUUCUCUGCCCCCCCCGUGAACAGUUUCAGCGGUGGUAUAAAGGUUUACGGAAUGUGGCUCUCUUCCAUGAGUGUUAUAAAAUAAUUCAUGAUGCCGCCAAUUGAAAUUACAGAACCCUGAACCUCUGUCCAGAUGAGGUCAAUGGUAGUGUUGCUCAUAGUCGUGUCCUCCUAUGUUUCAAUCUAACAUAAAUCCCCCUUGAUGAGUGGCUCAGGCUUCCGCGUUCUUCAUCAUAAUGAUGUGCUCGAGCCCGAGCUGAAAGCGGCGACCUCCAGGCAUGUAAUCUUGUCAGUGGCAGAUGUUUUAGAAAACCCCGACUGCGAAACCCUGGCGUGGGACUUAAUAUACAUUGUCUCCGGGGGGAAGUGAUCCCCCCCGGAGA
This 810-nucleotide ribosomal RNA is filed under the name uncultured Ascobolus. Its description in RNAcentral is "eukaryotic LSU rRNA". It matches the Rfam family "Eukaryotic large subunit ribosomal RNA", at positions 50 to 605 of the family's 3401-position model. Lineage: Eukaryota; Fungi; Ascomycota; Pezizomycetes; Pezizales; Ascobolaceae. The record is from RNAcentral.